AGACUACAGGAUUCCCCUAGUAACGGCGAGUGAAGCGGGAAGAGCUCAAGCUUGAAAUCUGGGGCGCUUGCGUCCACAGAAUUGUAGUUGAGAGAAGUGCUUUCACCGGGACGAGCGAUGGCCUAAGUUGCUUGGAACAGCACGUCAUAGAGGGUGAGAAUCCCGUCUGUGGUUGGUCGGUCCCUCGGAACGAUGCACUUUCGAAGAGUCGGGUUGUUUGGGAAUGCAGCCCAAAAUGGGUGGUAAACUCCAUCUAAAGCUAAAUACUGCCACGAGACCGAUAGCGAACAAGUACCGUGAGGGAAAGAUGAAAAGCACUUUGAAAAGAGAGUUAAAAGCACGUGAAACCGUUGAAAGGGAAACGCGCUCGGCUAGCAAUGCGCGUCUGUGGUUCAGCCGGCUAGUCUCGUCGAGUUGCCGUUGUGCGGAUCCGAAUGGACUGCCUGCGGUGGCGGCGGUGGGCGAGCUAUGGUGCACUCCACGGGCGUGCGCGUCAGCGUCGGUUCUCGACGGACGACAAGGUGCGUGGGAAAGGUAGCUCGGUUUUCGGACGGAGUGUUACAGACCCGUGCGCUGGGUUCGUCGUGGGACCGAGGAGAGAGAUGAUCGCUGCGGCACCUGCCUCUCGGGGCUAGCCAGCUGUUGUCAGGUGUGCGCCAGAUGCUGAGGACUGCACGCAGUGCUCGGUGUUGAGGUGUGAUCUGGUGGCGGUGUGGGUAUAGAGGUGCCUAGGACGCUGGCGUCCAAAUGGCCGUGCGCGACCCGUCUUGAAACACGGACCAAGGAGUCUAACAUGUGCGCGAGUCUUAGGGUGUGCAAGCCCUCGGGCGCAAUGAAAGUGAAGGUUCGGCGCUAGUCGAGCUGAGGUGAGAGCCGCUGCUGGCCUGUUGCCACGGUGGCGCAUCAUCGGCCGGUCCAUCCUGCUCUCAGGGGGAUCCGAGCAAGAGCGUAUUUGUUGGGACCCGAAAGAUGGUGAACUAUGCCUGAAUAGGGUGAAGCCAGAGGAAACUCUGGUGGAGGCUCGUAGCGAUUCUGACGUGCAAAUCGAUCGUCAAAUUUGGGUAUAGGGGCGAAAGACUAAUCGAACC
Molecule: ribosomal RNA, 1088 nt
Filed under: Leucosolenida sp. 20 JV-2020
Lineage: Eukaryota; Metazoa; Porifera; Calcarea; Leucosolenida
Description: partial large subunit ribosomal RNA
Rfam family: Eukaryotic large subunit ribosomal RNA
Source: RNAcentral